RNA transcript from Rattus norvegicus (Norway rat), 482 nucleotides. It is a transcript of the gene named diazepam binding inhibitor, acyl-CoA binding protein, pseudogene 3, with no coding region annotated. NCBI's taxonomy places the organism in Eukaryota, Metazoa, Chordata, Mammalia, Rodentia, Muridae. The record is from RefSeq and is a predicted model, not a curated record.
AAAAAAAAAAAAAAAAAAAAAGAGGAUUCUGAGCUUGCUCCCGUGCUUUCAGCAUCCAGGUCACUGACCCAGUAUGUCUCAGGCUGAAUUUGACAAAGCUGCUGAGGAGGUGAAGUGCCUCAAGACUCAGCCAAUGGAUGAAGAGAUGCUGUUCAUCUACAGCCACUUCAAACAAGCUACUGUGGGUGACAUAAAUACAGAUAGGCCUGGGCUGUUGGACCUCAAGGGCAAAGCCAAGUGGGACUCGUGGAACAAGCUGAAAGGGACUUCCAAGAAAAAUGCCAUGAAGACCUAUGUGGAAAAGGGUAAAAGAGCUAAAGAAGAAAUAUGGAAUAUGGAAUAUAAACGACCAGAUUUGCUGGCCAGCCACAUGUGUGACACAAUGCCUGUGAAGACAUAAUGCCUUGUUUUUCUUCUAAUGUGGAUGAUAUGGAUCUCAUAUGUUAGGGCCAGAGUUAAUUACUGCUCCUCCUCCCUGUGGA